RNAcentral lists this ribosomal RNA (495 nucleotides) under uncultured bacterium. RNAcentral's name for it is "partial 16S ribosomal RNA". It matches the Rfam family "Bacterial small subunit ribosomal RNA", at positions 28 to 507 of the family's 1533-position model. The record is from RNAcentral.
GACGAACGCUGGCGGCGUGCCUAAUACAUGCAAGUAGAACGCUGAAGGAGGAGCUUGCUCUUCUGGAUGAGUUGCGAACGGGUGAGUAACGCGUAGGUAACCUGCCUGGUAGCGGGGGAUAACUAUUGGAAACGAUAGCUAAUACCGCAUAACAGUAGAUGUUGCAUGACAUUUACUUAAAAGGUGCAAUUGCAUCACUACCAGAUGGACCUGCGUUGUAUUAGCUAGUUGGUGGGGUAACGGCUCACCAAGGCGACGAUACAUAGCCGACCUGAGAGGGUGAUCGGCCACACUGGGACUGAGACACGGCCCAGACUCCUACGGGAGGCAGCAGUAGGGAAUCUUCGGCAAUGGACGGAAGUCUGACCGAGCAACGCCGCGGGAGGGAAGAAGGUUGUCGGAUCGUAAAGCUCUGUUGUAAGAGAAGAACGAGUGUGAGAGUGGAAAGUUCACACUGUGACGGUAGCUUACCAGAAAGGGACGGCUAACUACGUG